GGUUGAGGAAAUCAUUGCAGUAACCAUGUAACAGUUAAGCAUGCACCAGCUCAAAAAUUUGGACCAAGAUUUUAAAAAGGUAAACAUCAGUGGAUCAGCUCUUUUCUGUCCUCCUUAACUGAGUGAUAUAGUUUAACUCUUGUACUGUACGUACAUACAUGUACAUUGAACUCAAAAUUGGAUUUUGUUAUCUAACGUUUGCCUAAACCACAUGUUAUGCAACCAAUACACAACGCUUAUUAUCAUAAAACGCAGAGUUUGAAUUUGAAGAGCAUCUGCUUUACUGUUCUCUAGAUAUGUCCUUUAAAUUAAGUUUGAUAAGAUCAUUUGUGGCUCAUGGACACAUUCUUCUUAUAUUAAUUUUAUUUAUCAAAUUAUAAUUUGUUGAUUUUAUAGAUUGCGUUCAUUGGCAUAUAUGCUAUGAGGUCUUGUUGUAUCGAUGUACAUGCUAAAUUUAUUAAGGUAGAAUCCUUUGCAUAUCUUAAAUUAAUUGAAAAAUGACAAUAUUGUGAAACCAAACUUCCUUUAUUAAUUAUUUGAAGAAUAACCACUGGUUGCUUCAGAAAAUAUUAUGUCCCCUCUCCCCCAGGGAAAGCUCUUUUCUUAAAUUUUAUUUGGGGGUUGUUGUGUAUGAAAUACCAAAAUGCAAAAGGAGUUUAUUAUAGGACCAGCAAUAGAAAAAAUAUUGAUUAUGUUUAAACACAGGAUAAUUUUUAAGAACUGCUGUGUAAAUUCAUAAGUUGGGAUCAAUUUAUUUUUUUGUAUUUUAUAAUUUAUGAUUUUUUUUUCAGAGAUCUGUAACCAACACAAGACCAGCUGGGUCAAUAUUCCUAAUGCGGCUCCAAAUGAGGAACUAAUGCGCCAUCAAAAGUUGUGUGUAAACAAAAAUUGUCUCUGAAGUGAUAUUGAACAUGUUUCAUUUUUAACAAGUGACUGAGCUUUACCAUUUGUGUUGAUCUGGAAAGUAGAGGAUCAUAG
Molecule: long non-coding RNA, 978 nt
Filed under: Mytilus galloprovincialis (Mediterranean mussel)
Lineage: Eukaryota; Metazoa; Mollusca; Bivalvia; Mytilida; Mytilidae
Source: RNAcentral